GACGAACGCUGGCGGCGUGCUUAACACAUGCAAGUGGUGCGACGAACCAGGCUUCGGCCUGGGGCAGAGCCGCGAACGGGUGAGUAACACGUGGGCAACCUGCCCUGUUGACCGGGACAACCCGGGGAAACCCGGGCUAAUACUGAAUGUGGAGCCGGCUCAUGAGAGCCGUCACGAAAGGAAGCCUCGGCCUCCGCGACAGGAUGGGCCCGCGGCCCAUUAGCUUGUUGGUGGGGUAAUGGCCUACCAAGGCAACGAUGGGUAGCUGGUCUGGGAGGACGAUCAGCCACACAGGGACUGAGACACGGCCCAGACUCCUACGGGAGGCUGCAGUGGGGAAUCUUGCGCAAUGGGCGACAGCUUGACGCAGCAACGCCGCGUGGGGGAAGAAGGCUUUCGGGUCGUAAACCCCUUUCAGUUAGGACGAAGCUGUAUUGGUUAAUAACCAAUUAGAGUGACGGUACUUUCAGAAGAAGCCCCGGCUAACUACGUGCCAGCCGCCGCCGUAA
RNAcentral lists this ribosomal RNA (509 nucleotides) under uncultured bacterium. Its description in RNAcentral is "partial 16S ribosomal RNA". It matches the Rfam family "Bacterial small subunit ribosomal RNA", at positions 28 to 523 of the family's 1533-position model. The record is from RNAcentral.